AUGUCACAUGAAGGGAGAGAAGGUCAGCACUAGCCUUGAUAAGAAUGGAAGAGGUCCUUGUGGCUUCUUUGCAACACACAUCUGGUUAAGGCAUUACUUCCUACUCUGACAUCUAACCAUGUUUUUUC
Molecule: small nuclear RNA, 128 nt
Organism: Trichosurus vulpecula (common brushtail)
Lineage: Eukaryota; Metazoa; Chordata; Mammalia; Diprotodontia; Phalangeridae
Source: RefSeq, a predicted model, not a curated record